GAUGAACGCUGGCGGCGUGCCUAAUACAUGCAAGUCGAGCGAACAGACGAGGAGCUUGCUCCUCUGACGUUAGCGGCGGACGGGUGAGUAACACGUGGAUAACCUACCUAUAAGACUGGGAUAACUUCGGGAAACCGGAGCUAAUACCGGAUCAUAUAUUGAACCGCAUGGUUCAAUAGUGAAAGACGGUUUUGCUGUCACUUAUAGAUGGAUCCGCGCCGCCUUAGCUAGUUGGUAAGGUAACGGCUUACCAAGGCAACGAUGCGUAGCCGACCUGAGAGGGUGAUCGGCCACACUGGAACUGAGACACGGUCCAGACUCCUACGGGAGGCAGCAGUAGGGAAUCUUCCGCAAUGGGCGAAAGCCUGACGGAGCAACGCCGCGUGAGUGAUGAAGGUCUUCGGAUCGUAAAACUCUGUUAUUAGGGAAGAACAAAUGUGUAAGUAACUAUGCACGUCUUGACGGUACCUAAUCAGAAAGCCACGGCUAACUACGUG
Molecule: ribosomal RNA, 497 nt
Filed under: uncultured bacterium
Lineage: Bacteria
Description: partial 16S ribosomal RNA
Rfam family: Bacterial small subunit ribosomal RNA
Source: RNAcentral